GCCAAUCACACACCGUCUCCCACCACCUCUGUCAACAGUAUAGUAGCCAAUCACACACCGUCUCCCACCACCUCUGUCAAUAGUAUAGUAGCCAAUCACACACCGUCCCCCACUGAUAUCAGGGGUGACAUUGAGGGGUGAUAGGUCUGAUAUCAGGAGUAAUAUUAGGGAGGGGGGAUAGGUCUGAUAUCAGGGGCUAAUAUGGAGGUACCUGUAGCUCAUACAAGACAUGGAGGCAUAGAGUUGAAUAAAGGGCACAUAUCAAUGUUUCUGCCCAAGUUAAAACAGGGUUUGUGGCAAGUCUCUGUCCAACUCGUGUUUAUAUUGAGGUAUUUUGCAGCUGUAUUGGUCAUCACCAGCAUUUUUAUCGGUCCUUCUGUAGCUCAGUUGGUAGAGCAUGGCGCUUGUAACGCCAGGGUAGUGGGUUCGAUCCCCGGGACCACCCAUACGUAGAAUGUAUGCACACAUGACUGUAAGUCGCUUUGGAUAAAAGCGUCUGCUAAAUGGCAUAUAUUAUUAUAUUAUCAGAGUCACCUCACUUGUAAAUUAACAAAUUAAUGAAAGUGUGGCUUUGUUUUUCAAAUCUG
Molecule: long non-coding RNA, 587 nt
Organism: Oncorhynchus keta (chum salmon)
Lineage: Eukaryota; Metazoa; Chordata; Actinopteri; Salmoniformes; Salmonidae
Exons: 3
Source: RefSeq, a predicted model, not a curated record